UACGAAGGGUGCAAGCGUUAUUCGGAUUUAUUGGGUGUAAAGGGUGUGUAGACGGCAUGUUAAGUCCGCUGUUAAAUUUCCCGGCCUAACUGGGAGCCAGCGGUGGAUACUGGCGUGCUAGAGGAUGGAAGAGAGAAGUGGAAUUCCCGGAGUAGCGGUAAAAUGCGUAGAUCUCGGGAGGAACACCAAUGGCGAAGGCAGCUUCGUGGUCCAUAUCUGACGUUGAGACACGAAAGCGUGGGGAGCAAACAGG
RNAcentral lists this ribosomal RNA (253 nucleotides) under uncultured bacterium. RNAcentral's name for it is "partial 16S ribosomal RNA". It matches the Rfam family "Bacterial small subunit ribosomal RNA", at positions 524 to 776 of the family's 1533-position model. The record is from RNAcentral.